CCCGAUUCCUGCCACCUUCACAACUAGAAGAGGGAGCUAGACUAUUCUGUGGGCAUUACGCUCUUGAAAUUUAUGCUCAAAUGCACCAACAAGCACAACACCAUUUGGGUUUAAUUUUCUUUUUUAAACACAAAUUUAUUAACAUUUAUUUAUUACAUGGGAAUGAGACAUCUUAUGAAUACAUGGCACAGUAAUAUUUACACUCCAACAAGAGGCCAGUGCAGACACACAACUGAGAUGGAGGGGAGAGGAAACAGAGUACUGACCGGCGGCUUAAAAACAACAGAACGAUGGUUAUGCAGAAAUCGACACCCUCACAAGAAGCAUCUGGCAAAAACAAAAGACUCCUUUAAUAUCACAGCAUGCCAUUCAUAUAAUAGCCAUGAAUGUACAAAGUCUUUAAAAAUUAACAGUGAUCAUCUGUUCAGAGUGGGGUCUUAAGUCCCCAAUAGUGCUUCGCUCUGUUAGGGCAUGCUACUGCUCUGGAGGCUUACUUUCCCAUCUGCGGUCACUGCAAAAAGGGUCUGCUCCCCACCGAUGAGCUGGAUGGGGCGCAGGGUGGCCAGGGCCUCCGUCGGCGUGGGAACCUUCACUUUUGCACCCUCGAUGCCCCCCAGCUGGCCCCGAUGAUUGUGGCCCCAGCCAUAGAUGGUCCCGCUGCCCCCGGCCGACAGGGUCCAGUCAUCCGGCCGUCUGAAGCAGGGCAGCGUUUAGCCAAGGGUUAGGCACCAGUGUAGGGGUGCUUUAGCAUGAGCUGGUUAGAUUAAUGUGCCACAGCGUUCACCUGUUCAUCCACUGCACCAACUGUUCAUCAUGCUCCCUCUUGAACAACUCAUGGCUUUCAUGAAGUCCAUUCAUGGUUUCAUGAUCUGCCAUCAGCUCCCGGAUCUUCUUAGAAACCUAAUCAACAGUUUGCACAAUGCAGUAAUACAAGAAAUGCAAAACCUUCUGUGCAUAUGAAUAUUUAGGUAUUUUGAUACCUCGUCCAGGAAGGUGCGAGGCAGGGGCGUUCGUUUGUCCAGGGCCACUGCCACUCUGGAGGCGGUGCAGUAACGGCGGAACCAGGCCCAUUUAUGAGUCUCAGCACAGCAGGGCAGUGUGUCCAAUUCUAGAUCACACGCAAGUGCCACCAGCACCUAAACGUAGCAACAUUCAUUUUGCUUAGAGUUCGCGCACACACAGGCACUCACACACACCUUCCCUCGCUCAUACAGACCUUAAAGAAAGGGCUAUGUAGCAGUUGUUUGCCUCCUCUGACAAUAGGGUCCUCAUACUCAUACUGCCUCUGCAGAGCUUCAGGAAGCCCCUUCACUAGGGCAGCCAGAGCACUGCCUGUAAAACUCUACAACAGCACACAAACGGUUGAUCAGUCACAGGAACAGCUCCAAAUUACA
Molecule: long non-coding RNA, 1394 nt
Organism: Electrophorus electricus (electric eel)
Lineage: Eukaryota; Metazoa; Chordata; Actinopteri; Gymnotiformes; Gymnotidae
Source: Ensembl